Long non-coding RNA from Daphnia pulicaria, 456 nucleotides. RefSeq lists it as uncharacterized. The record is from RefSeq and is a predicted model, not a curated record. The transcript has 3 exons. Lineage: Eukaryota; Metazoa; Arthropoda; Branchiopoda; Diplostraca; Daphniidae.
CCUUUCGACAUAUUGACUUUGCGUCCGCGUCCGGACGGAAACUACACCCAUUCCGGCAGCAAUGAUAAACUAUAUGAUUGGCUCUCCAAAAAACUGAACUUCACAAUUUCUUAUUUCGUAAUUCCCAACGAGAUUACCCAAGCUAAAUACAGAAAUUUGAGUGACAAUGCUGUCGUAAUCCAUCUAAUCGCGGAUCAAAUUGUAGAUGCAUCCGCCAUUGGUUUCAUCGCAACUCCCGAAAGAAAAUCAGUGAUGGACUUUGCUUACUUCAUUUGGACGGAACCACAGGCCAUGGUAGUUCCUCGACCAGGGGAAGAGCCUCGACUUUUUGCCUUUAUUCGACCUUUUCAACCAUUGGUUAUUAUGUUUCGUCGAUAUUCUAAAAAAGUUUUAUGCUUAUUUUUUUUUUUAAAUUUUGUUUUGACGGAGGGGUUUUUGUUCUCUUCAAAAGUAUGG